UUUAUGGAGAGUUUGAUCCUGGCUCAGAGUGAACGCUGGCGGCGUGCCUAAUACAUGCAAGUCGAACGAUGAAGCUUCUAGCUUGCUAGAGUGCUGAUUAGUGGCGCACGGGUGAGUAACGCAUAGGUCAUGUGCCUCUUAGUUUGGGAUAGCCAUUGGAAACGAUGAUUAAUACCAGAUACUCCCUACGGGGGAAAGAUUUAUCGCUAAGAGAUCAGCCUAUGUCCUAUCAGCUUGUUGGUAAGGUAAUGGCUUACCAAGGCUAUGACGGGUAUCCGGCCUGAGAGGGUGAACGGACACACUGGAACUGAGACACGGUCCAGACUCCUACGGGAGGCAGCAGUAGGGAAUAUUGCUCAAUGGGGGAAACCCUGAAGCAGCAACGCCGCGUGGAGGAUGAAGGUUUUAGGAUUGUAAACUCCUUUUGUUAGAGAAGAUAAUGACGGUAUCUAACGAAUAAGCACCGGCUAACUCCGUGCCAGCAGCCGCGGUAAUACGGAGGGUGCAAGCGUUACUCGGAAUCACUGGGCGUAAAGAGCGCGUAGGCGGGAUAGUCAGUCAGGUGUGAAAUCCUAUGGCUUAACCAUAGAACUGCAUUUGAAACUACUAUUCUAGAGUGUGGGAGAGGUAGGUGGAAUUCUUGGUGUAGGGGUAAAAUCCGUAGAGAUCAAGAGGAAUACUCAUUGCGAAGGCGACCUGCUGGAACAUUACUGACGCUGAUUGCGCGAAAGCGUGGGGAGCAAACAGGAUUAGAUACCCUGGUAGUCCACGCCCUAAACGAUGGAUGCUAGUUGUUGGAGGGCUUAGUCUCUCCAGUAAUGCAGCUAACGCAUUAAGCAUCCCGCCUGGGGAGUACGGUCGCAAGAUUAAAACUCAAAGGAAUAGACGGGGACCCGCACAAGCGGUGGAGCAUGUGGUUUAAUUCGAAGAUACACGAAGAACCUUACCUAGGCUUGACAUUGAGAGAAUCCGCUAGAAAUAGUGGAGUGUCUAGCUUGCUAGACCUUGAAAACAGGUGUUGCACGGCUGUCGUCAGCUCGUGUCGUGAGAUGUUGGGUUAAGUCCCGCAACGAGCGCAACCCCCUUUCUUAGUUGCUAACAGGUCAUGCUGAGAACUCUAAGGAUACUGCCUCCGUAAGGAGGAGGAAGGUGGGGACGACGUCAAGUCAUCAUGGCCCUUACGCCUAGGGCUACACACGUGCUACAAUGGGGUGCACAAAGAGAAGCAAUACUGCGAAGUGGAGCCAAUCUUCAAAACAUCUCUCAGUUCGGAUUGUAGGCUGCAACUCGCCUGCAUGAAGCUGGAAUCGCUAGUAAUCGCAAAUCAGCCAUGUUGCGGUGAAUACGUUCCCGGGUCUUGUACUCACCGCCCGUCACACCAUGGGAGUUGUGUUUGCCUUAAGUCAGGAUGCUAAAUUGGCUACUGCCCACGGCACACACAGCGACUGGGGUGAAGUCGUAACAAGGUAACCGUAGGUGAACCUGCGGUUGGAUCACCUCCUUUCUAGA
This 1509-nucleotide ribosomal RNA is filed under the name Helicobacter pylori. Its description in RNAcentral is "bacterial SSU rRNA". It matches the Rfam family "Bacterial small subunit ribosomal RNA". Lineage: Bacteria; Pseudomonadati; Campylobacterota; Epsilonproteobacteria; Campylobacterales; Helicobacteraceae. The record is from RNAcentral.